RNAcentral lists this ribosomal RNA (599 nucleotides) under Arthrobacter oryzae. Its description in RNAcentral is "bacterial SSU rRNA". It matches the Rfam family "Bacterial small subunit ribosomal RNA", at positions 86 to 697 of the family's 1533-position model. Lineage: Bacteria; Bacillati; Actinomycetota; Actinomycetes; Micrococcales; Micrococcaceae. The record is from RNAcentral.
GGGGGAUUAGUGGCGAACGGGUGAGUAACACGUGAGUAACCUGCCCUUAACUCUGGGAUAAGCCUGGGAAACUGGGUCUAAUACCGGAUAUGACUCCUCAUCGCAUGGUGGGGGGUGGAAAGCUUUAUUGUGGUUUUGGAUGGACUCGCGGCCUAUCAGCUUGUUGGUGAGGUAAUGGCUCACCAAGGCGACGACGGGUAGCCGGCCUGAGAGGGUGACCGGCCACACUGGGACUGAGACACGGCCCAGACUCCUACGGGAGGCAGCAGUGGGGAAUAUUGCACAAUGGGCGCAAGCCUGAUGCAGCGACGCCGCGUGAGGGAUGACGGCCUUCGGGUUGUAAACCUCUUUCAGUAGGGAAGAAGCGAAAGUGACGGUACCUGCAGAAGAAGCGCCGGCUAACUACGUGCCAGCAGCCGCGGUAAUACGUAGGGCGCAAGCGUUAUCCGGAAUUAUUGGGCGUAAAGAGCUCGUAGGCGGUUUGUCGCGUCUGCCGUGAAAGUCCGGGGCUCAACUCCGGAUCUGCGGUGGGUACGGGCAGACUAGAGUGAUGUAGGGGAGACUGGAAUUCCUGGUGUAGCGGUGAAAUGCGCAGAUAU